AGGGUGAGGGUAGAGAGGGAAUCCGGUGCGAGACCGGAGCAGUGCCCGCUACUGUAAUUGCCUUCUGCGUGCAGCGCACCAAACGUCACUGGGGCCUCCCCCUGGGAAGACGCGCUGCCGGGCAAAAGCCAGGAAACCUGCCAUUUCGCUAA
RNAcentral lists this non-coding RNA (152 nucleotides) under bovine gut metagenome. The record is from RNAcentral.